AGAACGAACGCUGGCGGCAGGCCUAAAACAUGCAAGUCGAACGCUCUAGCAAUAGAGAGUGGCGCACGGGUGAGUAACAUGUGGGAAUAUGCCUUUUGGUACGGAACAACUUUUGGAAACGAAAGCUAAUACCGUAUGGUCCCUUCGGGGUAAAGAUUUAUCGCCAAAAGAGUAGCCCGCACUGGAUUAGCUAGUUGGUAAGGUAAUGGCUUACCAAGGCGACGAUCCAUAGCUGGUCUGAGAGGACGAUCAGCCACACUGGGACUGAGACACGGCCCAGACUCCUACGGGAGGCAGCAGUUAGGAAUCUUGGACAAGUGGGCGCAAGCCUGAUCCAGCCAGUGCCGCGUGAGUGAUGGAAGGCCUUCGGGUUGUAAAGCGUUACUUAGGCCG
RNAcentral lists this ribosomal RNA (393 nucleotides) under uncultured soil bacterium. RNAcentral's name for it is "bacterial SSU rRNA". It matches the Rfam family "Bacterial small subunit ribosomal RNA", at positions 26 to 444 of the family's 1533-position model. The record is from RNAcentral.